Molecule: ribosomal RNA, 119 nt
Filed under: Phaseolus vulgaris (common bean)
Lineage: Eukaryota; Viridiplantae; Streptophyta; Magnoliopsida; Fabales; Fabaceae
Source: RNAcentral
AGGUGUGAUCAUACCAGCACUAAUGCAUCGGAUCCCAUCAGAACUUCGCAGUCAAGCGUGCUUCGGCGAGAGUAGUACUAGGAUGGGUGACCUCCUGGGAAGUCCUCGUGUUGCACUUC